CCAGACAACAAGUUGGUCUCUUGCGCUACCUCAGGUAUUCUGUUUGAAUGUGAGAUAGUUCUUGCUUAUCAUGGUGCGCUACGUGUUUGAGCAGUUCCACCAACUAUGCAAUCGGCCCCUUCCAAACCAUCGCGAUAACAGACCUCGGGCUCCGAAAAUCCGGGCGAAGGCAAUUGCAUCGAUCACACAAUAUGCGCACUGGAACGUUGUCUUUGAUGUCCAGAAUUAUGGCAUUUUUUUUCCUCUAUCCUUCCAAUGUCGCCUUCAAACAGGAUCAUCCAAAACCUUCGGCUCGAGUCUCGAGUGGCACCCACUUAGAGUGUGCUGGCGGGUGUCGAUAGAAACGGUCAACAAAAUCCAGUUUAUUUGUGUUAAAAUAGCAAAACAAUGCUACGU
Molecule: long non-coding RNA, 396 nt
Organism: Anopheles merus
Lineage: Eukaryota; Metazoa; Arthropoda; Insecta; Diptera; Culicidae
Exons: 3
Source: RefSeq, a predicted model, not a curated record